Pezoporus flaviventris is the source of this 623-nucleotide long non-coding RNA. RefSeq lists it as uncharacterized. The transcript has 2 exons. The record is from RefSeq and is a predicted model, not a curated record. Lineage: Eukaryota; Metazoa; Chordata; Aves; Psittaciformes; Psittacidae.
GAUCACACACUACAUGUCUCCUCCAAAGGAUGUGGAGGCCUCUGUAGCUCCUUGCUUAGCAAAUUGCAAGGCAGGGCCAAGUUUUGUGGGAUGGGUUUAGUUCCAGAUCUACCUACACCUCCUCUGUCUUGUGAAGAAGUCUGCAAGCAAGCAGCAGCAGGCGCACGGGAGAAAGCCCUGGAGAAGGGCAGCUCAGCUGUGUAUAUCCCUGCCUGCCUCCUGAACUCCAUCAGAGGCCAGCGGCAUGCAAGCCUGCACCUUUCCCAGUCCUCAGAUCACACCUCGCAUAUUGCAGCCCCAGAUGCUGCCCACCUAAGGCAGCCAGAGAAUGUCACCUCCUGGCUGGGACUAGACCCUUUCAGCAGUGGGCAAUCAACAGGGUAUAUUGCCUUCACACGGCUUGAGCUGCAUUGCUGGUGGCAGCAGCAAGCACUCCCUGCCUCCUUGCAGGUGUAAUCAGCCAGGCAGCUCAAAAGAAGAAAACUGCCUUCAGCUCACUAAAUUGUACCUGCAGCCCUUUUACCCAAAUUAGAGUCUCAGCAGAGACCUGUUUUUCAUGGGAUUUUCCCAGAAGCUUUAUUGCUCUUUUUCUUUAAUACGGAAGAUUUUAAAGGGUGCUGCAA